GCCUAUUCUGUGACCUUGAGACUUUAUCACCAGGCAGCAAAACAAAAUAUAACAAAUCUUCCGGAAAAAAAAGCUAUGACCUAUUCUCCAGCCUCCAGACCACAUCCAGGAGGCCAUAAAAACAUGAGAGCACCCUUGACAAAAGUGUUCUACAAGACGGUCCCUGUCUGCCCCGAGGCAUAUCACACUGGCUACAGACAAGAAAUUCCUUCAUUAUCGGAGAAACGUUGAAGGAUGAGUCAGGAAACUUCUACAUCAGCAUUAUCAUGAAUAAUAAACUACAUGCUAUAAUAUUUCCCAGCAGUACUCUUAAGACAGUCAAUAAGGUGGAAAAAAAAAUAAUCUUUAACUGUGUAACAUCAGUCUUCAGCAUAGUGUUUAAAUUAUAUUAGCGCUGUGCUCUGUAAAUAAAUAAAUAAACAAGCAGAAGGUUCAGAAAGCACAGCCAAGCAAGUUUAAUCUUGACGUAAGGCCGUGAUGUUUUAUUCAUGUGAUGAGAAGAGAGC
Centrocercus urophasianus (Greater sage-grouse) is the source of this 506-nucleotide long non-coding RNA. RefSeq lists it as uncharacterized. The transcript has 3 exons. The record is from RefSeq and is a predicted model, not a curated record. NCBI's taxonomy places the organism in Eukaryota, Metazoa, Chordata, Aves, Galliformes, Phasianidae.